AGGGGUUUAAAGCCUUAUUGCAUACGGUAAAUGCAAUCGCGAUUCCUGCGAAAGUGAGUUAGUUUUUUUUUAUUAUUUUGCUCGAGGACUAGCAAAAUGUAGGUUGGAGGGUGUGAUAAGUGCUAAAUAAUGCAUAAAUUAAUAUCUUAUUCAUAGCACUUAUCAUUAUUUUAAUUCACAUAUUUUGUAAAUUCAAUUAAAAAAUUGUGUUACCUUCAUCAUUGCAUUUUAAUAAAUUAUUAAAGGUAAUUCAAGUUUUACUUAUUUACUGAUUGAGCUUAAUGUAUGCAGGUCAAGUCACGCUUAAUUAGGUAAAGCCUAAACUACACUGCAUCAUUUCACAAUUUUACAUCCUCCAGAGUCAACUCCAAGAACUCUUCUCCAAAAUCCAGUGCUUCCAAUUAAUUUCUGACUCUUCACACGUUCACCUAAAUUUCUUCCCACUCGUUCCAACUCUUUUUCCACAUGAUCCAAUUCUCCUAUUUUAAUAAAAUCCCUUCAAUAUUUAUUUUUCAGAUCUCAAAGCAUACCAUCUAGUUGCACGGAUCCCAAAGCCUCAUCCCAUCUCAGCCAUCAUCUUGCAUCCACGUUAUCCAACUCCACGCUUCUCAAACCUAUUGUUUUUCCCAUGCAUUGAAACAAGAACAGAGCAUCCCCGAAUCGAGUUCAUCCUCCCG
This 677-nucleotide long non-coding RNA is filed under the name Phoenix dactylifera (date palm). Its description in RNAcentral is "long non-coding RNA (PDAC_LNC011319)". The record is from RNAcentral. Lineage: Eukaryota; Viridiplantae; Streptophyta; Magnoliopsida; Arecales; Arecaceae.